Molecule: long non-coding RNA, 531 nt
Organism: Eucalyptus grandis
Lineage: Eukaryota; Viridiplantae; Streptophyta; Magnoliopsida; Myrtales; Myrtaceae
Exons: 4
Source: RefSeq, a predicted model, not a curated record
UGUGCAAUCAAGUUGGAGAGAGCAGCAGAGUGAUGCAUCAGUGUUUUGCUGGAGCUGAUUAAGAUUAAAGUCAAUUUUGUGGUUCAAGAAGCCAUUAUAGUUAUUAAAGACAUUCGGAAGAUAUCCUAACACGCUGAGAAGAUUGAAGAGAAGAGGAAGCUUGAAGAGGAAGACUUAGCUAGAUUGACUAAAGAGAAGGAAAGCCAUGACUUAGAAUUUUUCUGUCCAUCAAUGCAAAUCUUUUAAUUUAUGGAACGAUUUAAAAAAUCCACUCAAAUCUUUUUCUGCAGGUUUACGGGUUGAAGCAUUAGCUGACGCAGCAGAGAACUAUCACCAAGUUCUUGCAGAAAAUAGGAGGCUAUUUAAUGAGGCAGAAAGGUGCAGUCCUUGACAACCAACCAAUUCCAACUAAUUCAGUUCCAUCUCAUGAAAAACCACGGUUUUGAUAUUUUGUUGAAUGUGAAGAUGCUGCGGAUGAGAAGUUUAUGAUUUGGUACUCAGGCCAAGAGGAAAAGCAAUUGAGACUAAGCU